GAACCGACUAAUGUUGAAAAAUUAGCGGAUGACUUGUGGCUGGGGGUGAAAGGCCAAUCAAACCGGGAGAUAGCUGGUUCUCCCCGAAAGCUAUUUAGGUAGCGCCUCGUGAAUUCAUCUCCGGGGGUAGAGCACUGUUUCGGCAAGGGGGUCAUCCCGACUUACCAACCCGAUGCAAACUGCGAAUACCGGAGAAUGUUAUCACGGGAGACACACGGCGGGUGCUAACGUCCGUCGUGAAGAGGGAAACAACCCAGACCGCCAGCUAAGGUCCCAAAGUCAUGGUUAAGUGGGAAACGAUGUGGGAAGGCCCAGACAGCCAGGAUGUUGGCUUAGAAGCAGCCAUCAUUUAAAGAAAGCGUAAUAGCUCACUGGUCGAGUCGGCCUGCGCGGAAGAUGUAACGGGGCUAAACCAUGCAC
This 420-nucleotide ribosomal RNA is filed under the name Escherichia coli. RNAcentral describes it as "partial 23S ribosomal RNA". It matches the Rfam family "Bacterial large subunit ribosomal RNA", at positions 776 to 1194 of the family's 2925-position model. The record is from RNAcentral. Lineage: Bacteria; Pseudomonadati; Pseudomonadota; Gammaproteobacteria; Enterobacterales; Enterobacteriaceae.